GGGGGAAAAGAAGAGGGGGUCGCGGGGGUUAUAUAGACGUGCUCGGGCGUGAAAAUGGAAGGCCGGAGGAGGAGAUUGCGGCGGCGGGCGUGCGGGGACGGCGGCCGGAAAUCGCGCGCGUGACCGGCGGCGCUUUCCUUCGGGGAAGACGCAGCUGACAGGUGGACCCCACCUGUCAGCGACUGCGGGCGUGCGCGCGCGGACCGGGCGGUCUGGGCCGGUCGGGCGCGGUUGGACUGGGCCGGUUCGGCCCAUUUUGGCCGGGCCGGUCCGGUUUACCUUUUUUUUUUCUUUUAGGCCUUUUCUCUUUCUGUUUUUUCCAUUUCUUUGAUAUCUUUUGUGUUUGAACUCCAAAUUGGUCCGAACAAAUUCCAGAAAAUUUGUAAAAUCAUGUUCUACCAAGAUACAACUUUUAGAAGUAGUUUCUCUUCAAAAUAAAAUAUGUAAAAAUACAUUUGCCCUAUAAAUGCCUUUAGGGCCAUAUAUCUGUUUAAAUAAAAUACUUUUUCAACUCCAAACAAUUAUUCAAAAAUUAUGUGAUAGCUCAUAUGUGCACUAAACCCCUUUUAUAUAUAAACUUUAAUGGUUUGAAGAUCCAAAGCUCAAAUGGGUGUAAACCCUAGGGUUUAAAAUGAAAUAAAGAAUCUUUCUAAAGCCUUUUGAGAUUGAAAAUUUGAAUUCAAACAUGCAAUUGUAGCAUGAUGUUUAUGAAUGCAAUGCUCAUGUAAAGGUUUGAAAUUUUGGGAUGUUACAGACCUAACCCCCUUAAGAUGAAUCUCGUCCUCGAGAUUCGGUGUGGUUAGCAAAGAGGUGUGGGUGGUCUUCUCGAAGAUCAUCCUCGCGUUCCCAAGUGGCUUCUUCUUCUGUGUGAUGGUACCACUGGACCUUGCAAAACUUGAUGGUCUUGGAUCGGGUGUGUCUCUCAGCUGUAUCCAAGAUCCUGACCGGUUUCUCCUCAUAGGUGAUGUCACUCUGUAAUUGGACUUCCUCAAGUGGAAUCGUAUCCCUCAGGGGUGUGUCGGCCAUCUCGGGGUGACACUUCUUCAGUUGCGAUACAUGGAAGACAUUGUGGACGUUUGACAGUGCUUCUGGCAAAUCCAACUUGUAGGCUACCUCUCCUUGUCGCGACAAUAUCUUGAAAGGUCCGACGAAUCGGGUUGCUAACUUCCCUCUUAUACCAAAUCUCUUGACACCGCGUAUCGGUGAAACUCUGAGAUACGCUCUAUCUUCAGCUUCAUAGGUAACCUCCC
Molecule: long non-coding RNA, 1250 nt
Filed under: Brachypodium distachyon (stiff brome)
Lineage: Eukaryota; Viridiplantae; Streptophyta; Magnoliopsida; Poales; Poaceae
Description: long non-coding RNA (BDIS_LNC003554)
Source: RNAcentral